RNAcentral lists this ribosomal RNA (379 nucleotides) under uncultured bacterium. RNAcentral describes it as "bacterial SSU rRNA". It matches the Rfam family "Bacterial small subunit ribosomal RNA", at positions 28 to 416 of the family's 1533-position model. The record is from RNAcentral.
GAUUAACGCUGGCGGCGUGCCUAACACAUGCAAGUCGAACGAGGUAGCAAUACCUAGUGGCAGACGGGUGAGUAACGCGUGGUCAACCUACCGUUGAGUGGGGGAUAACUAGCCGAAGGUUAGCUAAUACCGCAUACGUCUCCGAGUGGCAUCACUUGGCGAUAAAAGGAAGCAAUCCGCUCGAUGACGGGACCGCGUCCCAUUAGCUAGAUGGUGGGGUAACGGCCUACCAUGGCACCGAUGGGUAGCUGGUUUGAGAGAGCGACCAGCCACACUGGGACUGAGAAACGGCCCAGACUCCUACGGGAGGGCAGCAGUGAGGAAUUUUCCGCAAUGGGCGCAAGCCUGACGGAGCGACGCCGCGUGUGGGAAGAAGGCC